AUGGCAACCCCCGGCCAUAGCAUAAGCCACCUCACCCCCGCGCCGGAGUUCGCCGCCGUCUGCCUCAUUCACGGGCUGCCCGUCGCCGUCCCGGACCCAACCCUCGCCGCACCGGCCUUCCGCCUCGCCAUCUGCCAGUUCGCCUCCCGGCUCCCGCGCACCACCCAUCCCUCACCGUCCACUGACUGUCUCACUCCCCUCCCGCCCACGACCAUCCCCUCGACGCGCGCCACCGUCGCUCACCUAUCGCGACCCGCCGGCCGGCCGCCGUACCAUAGAGAUAGAGAAGGGAUUACAGAGGGGGAGAGAGAGAGGGGAGAGUGGCUGCACCUCGACGCGCGCCGCCGCUGCCUUCUCUGCCGCGGGUGA
Molecule: ribosomal RNA, 369 nt
Filed under: Triticum aestivum (bread wheat)
Lineage: Eukaryota; Viridiplantae; Streptophyta; Magnoliopsida; Poales; Poaceae
Description: partial small subunit ribosomal RNA
Source: RNAcentral